GAUGAACGCCGGCGGCGUGCCUAAUACAUGCAAGUCGAGCGAACUGUUGAGAGCUUGCUCCCAAAAGUUAGCGGCGGACGGGUGAGUAACACGUGGGUAACCUGCCUGUAAGACUGGGAUAACUUCGGGAAACAGGAGCUAUAACCGGAUAACAUUUAAUAACACAUGGCCUUCAAUUAAAAAGUGGCUUUUAGCUACCACUUAUAGAUGGACCCGCGGCGCAUUAGCUAGUUGGUGAGGUAACGGCUCACCAAGGCGACGAUGCGUAGCCGACCUGAGAGGGUGGUCGGCCAAACCUGGACUGGGACCCGGCCCAGACUCCUACGGGAGGGAGCAGUAGGGAAUCUUCCGCAAUAGACGAAAGUCUGACCGAGCAACGCCGGGUGGGGGAAGAAGGCCCUCGGGUCGUAAAGCUCUGGUGAUAGGGGAGAAAAAUAAGCGUACGAAUAGGUGGGUACCUUGACGGUACCUAACCAGAAAGCCACGGCUAACUACGUG
Molecule: ribosomal RNA, 498 nt
Filed under: uncultured bacterium
Lineage: Bacteria
Description: partial 16S ribosomal RNA
Rfam family: Bacterial small subunit ribosomal RNA
Source: RNAcentral